GUAACAUGUCACCGGCUGCAUCCGGGCCUCCAUCACUGCUCUUUACGGAAUGUUUAGAGACCUGCAGCAACACGUGGAGAGGACAGAUGUCCACAGACACAUUAUGGCUGGUGACAAAAAGUCGCCUUCUGAUACACGACACGCUCUGUCCCAAAUAACGAGCGAACAAUGCAACCUUUCAACAGUGGCGUUUUCAUAAUAAACACAAUAUCGUGGAUUGGCUUCUUCCAUUGAGUAAAACACCACCCUCUGCUGGAGACACCUCGCCACUUCAGGGUCUGAAUUAAACCUUUUUCACCCAGGAGCCAAUUUGACUACGAAAUUCUUGAAUUAUCCUCUAUUUGGAAGAAAAAAAAAUUAAUAGAAAUUAGGAUAAAAAAAAA
This is a long non-coding RNA of Silurus meridionalis, 383 nucleotides long. RefSeq lists it as uncharacterized. The transcript has 4 exons. The record is from RefSeq and is a predicted model, not a curated record. Lineage: Eukaryota; Metazoa; Chordata; Actinopteri; Siluriformes; Siluridae.